Molecule: small RNA, 146 nt
Filed under: bovine gut metagenome
Description: M-box riboswitch (ykoK leader)
Rfam family: M-box riboswitch aptamer (ykoK leader)
About the family: M-box riboswitch, also know as ykoK leader is described as a metaloregulatory RNA that sense divalent metals and function as a genetic control element of genes related to divalent metal transport in bacteria.
Source: RNAcentral
UUGUUUCGGUAGGUGAGGUUACCACAGGGAUACGGGUUGCUGCCGCGAAGUCGUGGAGACACGAUCAGAAGGUCAGCAGGUUUUGUCGAAGCCAAGGCAAAAUCUAACGCAAUUUCAUGCCCUGCGAAACUGAAGCUUGAACGGUA